This 2484-nucleotide unclassified non-coding RNA is filed under the name Hevea brasiliensis (rubber tree). Lineage: Eukaryota; Viridiplantae; Streptophyta; Magnoliopsida; Malpighiales; Euphorbiaceae. The record is from RNAcentral.
UCAGGUAACUUCUCGCUUGGUUUUUGCAAUUUUUUUCUUUUAUUUGGAAUGGAGCAUAUGGAUUUCACUCAUGGAUUUAAGGUUGAUAUAUAUAGGUGCUUGUAAAUGCAAACCCAUGUUUACAUAUUGUAAAACUUCAAAACUAGCCCUCCUUGAUAAUCAAAUAUCACUUAUCUCGGGAAACAUGAACUUCAAAACUGUUCAAAUGGUAUUUUGAAUGUGACAGUACACACACACACACACAUAUGUAUGUAUUAUGUUUGACGUGGACUUCUGUUACCAUUCCAAUAAGUUUCAUCAUGUUUUGUUUCAUUGUACUUGAUUAUGACUUCAAUUUGACCUGAAAAAUCAACACAAUUAUCAAAACUAAAGCAUUUUAGUAUAUUUUGUAUCAUGAUAUCUUAUUACUGUUAUGAAAAAUAUGGUGCUUUGUCACUUGAUUCGUGAAUUUGACAUUAGAAUCACAGACAGAAGAGAAAGGGUAACUUAAUGUGACGUUUCAUGGCUUUCUGGCCCUUUUUUUUUUGGUUUCUUGUUUAAAUUUUAGAUUCGUUACUUUAUGGGUCUGAGAUGUGGAGGUAUCUUCGCUUUAUUUUUGCUAUCUAUUCUCGUAGAUGUUGUCUUCCUAUCUAACUGAUCAGUGUCUGGAUUUGUUAAUCAUGCAUCUUGAAUGCGCUUUACUUUCAGGAAUUGCUGAAAGCUUUAAUUGGUUUCAUAGAUGUUGCCGGGCUUAACUUUGCCUUGACCCAGUUGACUCACAGAAAUAUCUCUCAAAACCAUAAAUUUCAAGCUGUUGGACUUGGUGAGUAUGAAUUGAUCAUUUGAAUGGCCAAAUGAGACUGUUUUAUCUCUUCAGCUUGAUCUUUGAAUUUCUUCUCCUGUAUGUUUCUUGAAUUUUUUUUCAAUUUAUUUCAUAUCCCUUUGAAAUUAUGGCCUAAACUGCUGCUGAGAUUUACGUUGCUUGUGUACAAUUUUUAGACAUUCCCUUUGAUAUAUGCUUAGCUGUGAAACUAGGAGUGCAUUCUUUUCACUUGACCUUAGUUACAUAUAAAGUCUUCUUUGGCUGUGAAACAUCUUUUCCCAUUGCAGGGUGGGCUUUUGCUGAUUCUGUUUUACAUAGACUGGCACCUCUUUGGGUGGGAGCUCGAGGGCUAGAAUUCACUUGGGAUUACAUUCUGCAAGGCCUUGAAGCAAAUGCAAACCUGGUGCUGAGUAUAUCCCUUGCUGCAUUGGGAUCUCUGAUGUGGCUUCGCAAAAACAAACCCAAGACUUUGAUUCCCAUAAUAUAUGCAUGCGCAGCCAUUGUGGCAACAAUGCCAUCCAUCACAAAUUAUUUGAGAAGAGGAUUGGGGUGGCAUCUUCCAAAAGUGGUAGGCUUCGAACUAUUUACCUCUCUGAUGAUGGCUUUUAUUAGUUGGCAACUCUUUUCUGCAUGUCAAAGACCCUCAUCCUAAGAAAGUCCAGUACCAUCUCUAAGACCAGAGAGUUGGUUGGGGAUAGGCUCUUGGAACAUAUUGAAAAAAUCUAGCCAUUGGCUAUCAAUUCCGCCCCCUACAAGGCUGUUGGACUGUUUUUUCAAAAUUUUGUAGCAUCAUUGAUUUUGCCUAUAAAAAUUACUGAUUUGUAAUUUCACUUUCUGUGAUGUUCAGAGGAUUGAAUAGAUAGAUUUUCCUUUACCACAUGAUUCAAGUUUUUCUUGAAUGGAGGACAUAUGGAUAGGGUACUGAAGUGCUGUAAAGGAUAGCUAAGAGUGAUACGGCUCUUCGAGUACUUGAACGACUGCUAGGAUGUCCUACUACUAUUUAUCUGCAAGACAGCGCCGGUUUAGAGAGCUCAAAGGAGUCAGUUAAUUUGUGUUGUGUCACCUGCUAAAAGGGUUCGGUUAAUUUGCAUUGUGUCACCUUUCACAAGGGUCGAUUAAUUUGUAUUGUAUCAAGAGAUAUCAAAGCAUAUGCAAGACAUUUUCCAUUAAGAAGCAAGCUUAGCUAUGAAGUAGCAAUGCUUUUUAAUGAAGGAUGAAAUUUAUUAUCUUCUAGUACAAAUUAUACAAGAAGACCAUUGGUUAUGCAUCCCAAAGUAUUUAUUUCUACAUUAAAUGAAAAGACUUAUGAAACAACAAUGGUCUAGCCAUUAGGUACUUGCUUAGCUUUAAACAAAAAGGCUCACUCAGAUUCUUCAAAAAAUGCUUCAAUUCGGAGAAGUACAAAUCCAACAGCCACUCCAAUCAAAACAAGGACAUUCAUAAUGGCAGCAAUUUCAAAUAUCUCUCCUACUUUACUGCACUUAGAGGAGAGUGCACCACCACCUCUUCCUUUCCCAUUUGAUGAAGCUUUCAUUGAACUAACCACACUUGCAAAGCACCGCUCAGUGCAGACUGGCAUGCCUAAAUAGACCACACUGUUGUGGGCUUUGAGACCCCCAUAGGAAUUCAAUCCUCUUACGUACACCACCUUGUCCCUUCUCUUCUGGGUCUUGCUAUUGAAA